CACCGGCCGCCCGAGUGGUGGCCACUAUUAUUGGGUCUAAAGCGUCCGUAGCCGGCCUAGUAAGUCUCUCGGGAAAUCCGGCGGCUUAACCGUCGGGCGUCCGAGAGAUACUGCUAGGCUUGGGACCGGGAGAGGUGAGAGGUACCUCAGGGGUAGGGGUGAAAUCUUGUGAUCCCUGAGGGACCACCAGUGGCGAAGGCGUCUCACUAGAACGGGUCCGACGGUCAGGGACGAAAGCUGGGGGCACGAACCGG
This 254-nucleotide ribosomal RNA is filed under the name uncultured microorganism. RNAcentral describes it as "partial 16S ribosomal RNA". It matches the Rfam family "Archaeal small subunit ribosomal RNA", at positions 474 to 727 of the family's 1478-position model. The record is from RNAcentral.